RNAcentral lists this ribosomal RNA (422 nucleotides) under uncultured bacterium. RNAcentral's name for it is "bacterial SSU rRNA". It matches the Rfam family "Bacterial small subunit ribosomal RNA", at positions 202 to 621 of the family's 1533-position model. The record is from RNAcentral.
AAGACCUCACGUUAUUCGAGCGGCCGACGUCUGAUUAGCUAGUUGGUGGGGUAAUGGCCUACCAAGGCGACGAUCAGUAGCGGGUCUGAGAGGAUGAUCCGCCACACUGGAACUGAGACACGGUCCAGACUCCUACGGGAGGCAGCAGUGGGGAAUUUUGGACAAUGGGGGCAACCCUGAUCCAGCCAUUCCGCGUGAGUGAAGAAGGCCUUCGGGUUGUAAAGCUCUUUCAGCAGGGAAGAAACGGUUACGGCUAAUACCUGUGACUAAUGACGGUACCUGCGGAAGAAGCACCGGCUAACUACGUGCCAGCAGCCGCGGUAAUACGUAGGGUGCGAGCGUUAAUCGGAAUUACUGGGCGUAAAGCGUGCGCAGGCGGUUUUGUAAGUCAGAUGUGAAAGCCCCGGGCUCAACCUGGGAAU